Molecule: unclassified non-coding RNA, 822 nt
Filed under: Hevea brasiliensis (rubber tree)
Lineage: Eukaryota; Viridiplantae; Streptophyta; Magnoliopsida; Malpighiales; Euphorbiaceae
Source: RNAcentral
UGAACAUUAUAUUGGGAACAGCAAAGGGACUGGCCUACCUUCACGAGGGUCUUGAACCAAAGGUCGUCCACCGUGAUGUAAAAUCCAGCAAUAUACUACUUGAUCGCCAGUGGAAUGCUAAGGUUUCUGAUUUUGGACUUGCUAAGCUCAUAUGCUCUGAGAGGAGUUAUGUAACAACACGAGUGAUGGGAACAUUCGGUUAUGUUGCACCAGAAUAUGCUUGCACUGGAAUGCUGAAUGAGAAGAGUGAUGUAUAUAGCUUUGGCAUACUUAUAAUGGAGUUAAUUUCUGGGAGAAGCCCAGUUGAUUAUAGUCGAGCACAAGGAGAGGUGAAUUUGGUGGAUUGGUUAAAAGCCAUGGUCGGAAACCGAAAAUCUGAAGAAGUAGUUGAUCCUAAGUUGCCUGAGAUGCCCGCUUCCAAAGCUCUAAAACGUGUUCUCCUGGUUGCUCUUAGAUGUGUUGAUCCUGAUGCAACAAAGAGGCCCAAAAUGGGGCAUGUGAUCCACAUGCUUGAGGCAGAUGACUUAUUAUUUAGUGAUGAACGCCGAAUUGGGAGAGAAUCUUCCCAUUCACACCGUUGUGAGCAAGAGAAUCACGCUGUUGCAAAAUUAGGUGAUAAACGAUUGGGCUAAGGCACUUCAGACGUUAAUGAAGGUGAUAGCAAUAGGAAUCUUUCUGAACAAAAUAGAUGGAGAUAACUUCACUGGAGGAUUAGGUGAUUAACUUAUUUAAAUCUCUCCAAGAUAUUGGACUUCCCUUUUUCCUUUCCCCUUAUUUCUUUUUUUUUUUUUCCUUUUCUUUUUAUAUUUUUUCUCUUGUGGC